Molecule: long non-coding RNA, 421 nt
Organism: Amphibalanus amphitrite
Lineage: Eukaryota; Metazoa; Arthropoda; Thecostraca; Balanomorpha; Balanidae
Exons: 3
Source: RefSeq, a predicted model, not a curated record
AGAGUCAGUGGUGUGUUAAAUACCUACAGCUGCGGUGUCGUGCAACGAUUCGUGUUGACUGGAAUGGUCCAGGCACGGGUGUAAUUGAAGUUCUCAGCCGAAUGUCAUGCAAACUGCCGGCGGAUGACGUCAGAGGUAUGAGGCGCGGCGCGCUGAUUGGCCGACCGGCGAGCGGCGCGGCGCGCUGAUUGGUCAGUCGGCGGCGUGUGACGUCCGUCCCGGAGGAAUGCCGAUCGGGGGAUGGCUACUGGCCAGAUGGCUCUGUCUCCUGCUACUGCUGCUCACAGGCUGUGCCGGAAACCCAGACGCCAAGAGGCUCUAUGACGACCUGCUCUCUAACUACAACAAGCUGGUGCGACCCGUCGUGAACGUCACCGAUCCGCUCAAGGUGCAGAUCAAGCUGAAGCUCUCCCAGCUGAUU